AGCAAUUGCCACAUGAGCAUGGCCAGCCUUACCCUUGAGACCACUUUCCACAUUUUGCAGCUCAUUCAUCAACUCAGCUAAUGGCAUAUUCAUUUUGUGCAAGUGAUAGUCCACAGUAAACUGUGAAAUCAUAUCAGAUAAAGAAUUCAACCCCAUAUCAACUUGAGUUUCUUGAUCAAUAGUUGUACCCAGAUUCUCCGCCACGUUGAAGUAUAAAAUCAUAGUCAACAUAUGAUCCUUUAGAGGCAUUCCGGGUUUCAUGCUGAUGUUCUGUAAGGUACGAAUGGCCUCAAAGCGAGCCCUCCUACUUUGAUGUCCAAACAUGCCCUUCAGGUAGGGAUGUCAAAAAGGCUCAUCGGCUCGGGUGGCUCGACUCGAGAAAAGCCCGAGCCGGCCCAACUCGUGGCUUGAAGAAAUCAAGCAAAGGCUCAGGCCGAGCCCCAUUUUGGGGCAUCAGCUCGAGCUUGGGCCAGCCCGUGAAAAUAUAAAAAAAUUACGUAUAGACUAACUAAGGCCAUAAAAUAAAAAAAUUAUUUAUUAAAAAAAUGUGUAGCUGCCUUGAAACAGGCAGCUAUAUAAACUGCCUGUUAGGGCAACGAAUAUACAAGUAGUUAGCGUCCAAAUUUUUGAAUAAAUGCGAAAUUUAAAUUUGGUUAAGUUAAAAUUUUUUUUCUUUUGCUAAAAAAUAGGGACAAAAUUUUGAAUUUUCUAUCAAUUUGCUUUAAUUGUUUUCAACUUGAAAUAUUGUAGUUUCAACUUCAAUUUCUU
This 768-nucleotide long non-coding RNA is filed under the name Olea europaea subsp. europaea. Lineage: Eukaryota; Viridiplantae; Streptophyta; Magnoliopsida; Lamiales; Oleaceae. The record is from RNAcentral.